AUUCUGUUAGUGUACUGCACGUAAAGUUUUGAUCUUUAAAAAAUAAAUUUUUUAUACUGAAG
Molecule: transfer RNA, 62 nt
Filed under: Liposcelis bostrychophila
Lineage: Eukaryota; Metazoa; Arthropoda; Insecta; Psocodea; Liposcelididae
Description: tRNA-Gln
Source: RNAcentral